GGGGAUUUAGCUCAGUGGUAGAGUAUUUGCCUAGCAAGCGCAAGGCCCUGGGUUCGGUCCCCAGCUCCA
RNAcentral lists this transfer RNA (69 nucleotides) under Rattus norvegicus (Norway rat). It matches the Rfam family "tRNA". From Rfam's summary of the family: Transfer RNA (tRNA) molecules are approximately 80 nucleotides in length. The record is from Rfam by way of RNAcentral. Lineage: Eukaryota; Metazoa; Chordata; Mammalia; Rodentia; Muridae.